UUUAACCUCAAAUCAGGUAGGAUUACCCGCUGAACUUAAGCAUAUCAAUAAGCGGAGGAAAAGAAACUAACAAGGAUUCC
This 80-nucleotide ribosomal RNA is filed under the name uncultured Hygrocybe. RNAcentral's name for it is "partial 28S ribosomal RNA". It matches the Rfam family "Eukaryotic large subunit ribosomal RNA", at positions 1 to 78 of the family's 3401-position model. The record is from RNAcentral. Lineage: Eukaryota; Fungi; Basidiomycota; Agaricomycetes; Agaricales; Hygrophoraceae.